AACGAACGCUGGCGGCAUGCCUAACACAUGCAAGUCGAACGAGACCUUCGGGUCUAGUGGCGCACGGGUGCGUAACGCGUGGGAAUCUGCCCUUGGGUUCGGAAUAACAGUUGGAAACGACUGCUAAUACCGGAUGAUGACGUAAGUCCAAAGAUUUAUCGCCCAGGGAUGAGCCCGCGUAGGAUUAGCUAGUUGGUGGGGUAAAGGCCUACCAAGGCGACGAUCCUUAGCUGGUCUGAGAGGAUGAUCAGCCACACUGGGACUGAGACACGGCCCAGACUCCUACGGGAGGCAGCAGUGGGGAAUAUUGGACAAUGGGCGAAAGCCUGAUCCAGCAAUGCCGCGUGAGUGAUGAAGGCCUUAGGGUUGUAAAGCUCUUUUACCCGGGAUGAUAAGGACAGGACCGGGAGAAUAAGCCCCGGCUAACUCCGU
Molecule: ribosomal RNA, 432 nt
Filed under: uncultured bacterium
Lineage: Bacteria
Description: partial 16S ribosomal RNA
Rfam family: Bacterial small subunit ribosomal RNA
Source: RNAcentral